This 383-nucleotide ribosomal RNA is filed under the name Escherichia coli. Its description in RNAcentral is "bacterial SSU rRNA". It matches the Rfam family "Bacterial small subunit ribosomal RNA", at positions 1151 to 1533 of the family's 1533-position model. RNAcentral also lists the same sequence under 3 other names. Lineage: Bacteria; Pseudomonadati; Pseudomonadota; Gammaproteobacteria; Enterobacterales; Enterobacteriaceae. The record is from RNAcentral.
GCCAGUGAUAAACUGGAGGAAGGUGGGGAUGACGUCAAGUCAUCAUGGCCCUUACGACCAGGGCUACACACGUGCUACAAUGGCGCAUACAAAGAGAAGCGACCUCGCGAGAGCAAGCGGACCUCAUAAAGUGCGUCGUAGUCCGGAUUGGAGUCUGCAACUCGACUCCAUGAAGUCGGAAUCGCUAGUAAUCGUGGAUCAGAAUGCCACGGUGAAUACGUUCCCGGGCCUUGUACACACCGCCCGUCACACCAUGGGAGUGGGUUGCAAAAGAAGUAGGUAGCUUAACCUUCGGGAGGGCGCUUACCACUUUGUGAUUCAUGACUGGGGUGAAGUCGUAACAAGGUAACCGUAGGGGAACCUGCGGUUGGAUCACCUCCUUA